GUUCUUUUUUGCUAGCACAUAUACUAAAAUUGGAAUGAUACAGACAAGAUCAUUGUGGCCCCUAGCAAAAAUUAUAUGAAAAUUCACAAAGCAUUCCAUAUUUUU
This is a small nuclear RNA of Ictidomys tridecemlineatus (thirteen-lined ground squirrel), 105 nucleotides long. The record is from Ensembl. NCBI's taxonomy places the organism in Eukaryota, Metazoa, Chordata, Mammalia, Rodentia, Sciuridae.